ACGGAAGGCAGCAGUGAGGAAUAUUGGUCAAUGGGCGGAAGCCUGAACCAGCCAAGUCGCGUGAAGGAUGAAGGUAUUAUGUAUUGUAAACUUCUUUAGACGUAGAGAAAUAAGGGUGUCGUGACACCUGAUGCUAGUAUACGUAGAAUAAGGAUCGGCUAACUCCGUGCCAGCAGCCGCGGUAAUACGGAGGAUCCGAGCGUUAUCCGGAUUUAUUGGGUUUAAAGGGUGCGUAGGCGGUUUGUUAAGUCUGUGGUAAAAGCGUGUGGCUCAACCAUACCAAGCCAUGGAAACUGGCGGACUUGAGUGUAAACGAGGUAGGCGGAAUAUCACGUGUAGCGGUGAAAUGCUUAGAUAUGUGAUAGAACCCCGAUUGCGAAGGCAGCUUACCAGCAUACAACUGACGCUGAGGCACGAAAGCGUGGGUAUCAAACAGGAUUAGAUACCCUGGUA
RNAcentral lists this ribosomal RNA (453 nucleotides) under uncultured Paludibacter sp. RNAcentral's name for it is "bacterial SSU rRNA". It matches the Rfam family "Bacterial small subunit ribosomal RNA", at positions 341 to 792 of the family's 1533-position model. The record is from RNAcentral. Lineage: Bacteria; Pseudomonadati; Bacteroidota; Bacteroidia; Bacteroidales; Paludibacteraceae.